Molecule: long non-coding RNA, 1117 nt
Organism: Dicentrarchus labrax (European seabass)
Lineage: Eukaryota; Metazoa; Chordata; Actinopteri; Moronidae
Source: Ensembl
UCUUGGUGGCCUCCUUUACUAGUGCCCUUCUCUCACGUGGUGGACUGAACUUGGAAGAUGUCUGUUUGUUUGUUUGUUUGUUUGUUUAAAUUGGCCUUACUGUCAAUUUUGGAUGAUUUAGUUGUUUCAUGUUUAUACUUAACUUAGAUAAAUUUUUUGUUGCUCGUGUCCCAAAAUCCUAAAUAUAUCAGAUGUGAUUCACAGCUCUAAAACAGUUAGGGUGAAUACUUUUUAUAGAUGUGUGGGGGAUGUCCGCAUUCACAUGUCCAGAAACAGCAAUAUGACUCAUUUGGUACUGUGUGUAUGAGAGGUUCUCUUCCAAAAAAGAUGAAGCCGUGGUCAUACUCUAAAUGUAUUUAAUUUGUUUGUCAUUUAAUAUAUGUGCAGCUUGAUGUGGCCAAUUUGUUCAGACUCGCCAUUAUUCAGCGGGGGUGUAUUUCAUUCUUUUGCUUGAAUUUUCAUCAGCCCUUAUGUUCACUGACAACAGGAACUAAAAACGAGCCUAACACGUGUCAGAUGAUAUUGAAAAUAUGAAGGCUGCUCCACAGCGGAGAGCUGGGGACGAGGAGCUCUGUGCCUAUUGGUCUCAUGGAAAUGUGGUGAGGAGAGCGGGGCUAUAAAAGCAGCCUGUGUGAGAGCGCAGCGGCUCGGAGAGAGAGGACUGUAGCAGGCGGCCGGAGCGCAGCACACAUACCUGGGAACCACACACAGACCCGCACAGCGCAGCCAUGAGUGAGGUACCUCCUGAGUUUAGCUGCAUUUCUACCAUCAAUAUUAAUUCAAUAACUUCUUCUAAACCAAAAACUUCGCCACCGGACAUGUUCUACAGAGGAAUUAGUACAGGAAUUACUCAUCUAAUAAAGUAACUUGCUUAUGUAGUUGAAUAACUGCUAAGUAACCAACUGUAAACUGUACUGGAUCCAUAUUUCAUAACAAGUCUGAUAUUUUAACUUGAAACAUUUGUCAGAAAAUUAUUACCAAAGUUAUCGUUCAAAUAUUUGUAAAAGCCUUUCAAACUACAUAUAAAAAUAUAUACUAAAUAUUGUAUCAUUUAUAUUAUAUAUUAUUAUAUCAUUUAUCUGUCAACAUCAUAAUAAAGUUUGACUGUGAAACAGAA